This 273-nucleotide ribosomal RNA is filed under the name uncultured bacterium. RNAcentral's name for it is "partial 16S ribosomal RNA". It matches the Rfam family "Bacterial small subunit ribosomal RNA", at positions 524 to 796 of the family's 1533-position model. The record is from RNAcentral.
UACAGAGGUCUCAAGCGUUGUUCGGAUUCAUUGGGCGUAAAGGGUGCGUAGGUGGCGAGGUAAGUCGGGCGUGAAAUCCCGGGGCUCAACCCCGGAACUGCGUUCGAUACUGCUUUGCUUGAGGACUGGAGAGGAGACUGGAAUUCACGGUGUAGCAGUGAAAUGCGUAGAUAUCGUGAGGAACACCGGUGGCGAAGGCGGGUCUCUAGACAGUUCCUGACACUGAGGCACGAAGGCCAGGGGAGCAAACGGGAUUAGAAACCCCAGUAGUCC